RNAcentral lists this ribosomal RNA (1338 nucleotides) under Escherichia coli. Its description in RNAcentral is "partial 23S ribosomal RNA". It matches the Rfam family "Bacterial large subunit ribosomal RNA", at positions 419 to 1759 of the family's 2925-position model. The record is from RNAcentral. Lineage: Bacteria; Pseudomonadati; Pseudomonadota; Gammaproteobacteria; Enterobacterales; Enterobacteriaceae.
GGGACACGUGGUAUCCUGUCUGAAUAUGGGGGGACCAUCCUCCAAGGCUAAAUACUCCUGACUGACCGAUAGUGAACCAGUACCGUGAGGGAAAGGCGAAAAGAACCCCGGCGAGGGGAGUGAAAAAGAACCUGAAACCGUGUACGUACAAGCAGUGGGAGCACGCUUAGGCGUGUGACUGCGUACCUUUUGUAUAAUGGGUCAGCGACUUAUAUUCUGUAGCAAGGUUAACCGAAUAGGGGAGCCGAAGGGAAACCGAGUCUUAACUGGGCGUUAAGUUGCAGGGUAUAGACCCGAAACCCGGUGAUCUAGCCAUGGGCAGGUUGAAGGUUGGGUAACACUAACUGGAGGACCGAACCGACUAAUGUUGAAAAAUUAGCGGAUGACUUGUGGCUGGGGGUGAAAGGCCAAUCAAACCGGGAGAUAGCUGGUUCUCCCCGAAAGCUAUUUAGGUAGCGCCUCGUGAAUUCAUCUCCGGGGGUAGAGCACUGUUUCGGCAAGGGGGUCAUCCCGACUUACCAACCCGAUGCAAACUGCGAAUACCGGAGAAUGUUAUCACGGGAGACACACGGCGGGUGCUAACGUCCGUCGUGAAGAGGGAAACAACCCAGACCGCCAGCUAAGGUCCCAAAGUCAUGGUUAAGUGGGAAACGAUGUGGGAAGGCCCAGACAGCCAGGAUGUUGGCUUAGAAGCAGCCAUCAUUUAAAGAAAGCGUAAUAGCUCACUGGUCGAGUCGGCCUGCGCGGAAGAUGUAACGGGGCUAAACCAUGCACCGAAGCUGCGGCAGCGACGCUUAUGCGUUGUUGGGUAGGGGAGCGUUCUGUAAGCCUGCGAAGGUGUGCUGUGAGGCAUGCUGGAGGUAUCAGAAGUGCGAAUGCUGACAUAAGUAACGAUAAAGCGGGUGAAAAGCCCGCUCGCCGGAAGACCAAGGGUUCCUGUCCAACGUUAAUCGGGGCAGGGUGAGUCGACCCCUAAGGCGAGGCCGAAAGGCGUAGUCGAUGGGAAACAGGUUAAUAUUCCUGUACUUGGUGUUACUGCGAAGGGGGGACGGAGAAGGCUAUGUUGGCCGGGCGACGGUUGUCCCGGUUUAAGCGUGUAGGCUGGUUUUCCAGGCAAAUCCGGAAAAUCAAGGCUGAGGCGUGAUGACGAGGCACUACGGUGCUGAAGCAACAAAUGCCCUGCUUCCAGGAAAAGCCUCUAAGCAUCAGGUAACAUCAAAUCGUACCCCAAACCGACACAGGUGGUCAGGUAGAGAAUACCAAGGCGCUUGAGAGAACUCGGGUGAAGGAACUAGGCAAAAUGGUGCCGUAACUUCGGGAGAAGGCACGCUGAUAUGU